This 2900-nucleotide ribosomal RNA is filed under the name Klebsiella pneumoniae UCICRE 6. Its description in RNAcentral is "bacterial LSU rRNA". It matches the Rfam family "Bacterial large subunit ribosomal RNA". The record is from RNAcentral. Lineage: Bacteria; Pseudomonadati; Pseudomonadota; Gammaproteobacteria; Enterobacterales; Enterobacteriaceae.
UUAAGCGACUAAGCGUACACGGUGGAUGCCCUGGCAGUCAGAGGCGAUGAAGGACGUGCUAAUCUGCGAAAAGCGUCGGUAAGGUGAUAUGAACCGUUAUAGCCGGCGAUGUCCGAAUGGGGAAACCCAGUGCAAUUCGUUGCACUAUCGUUAACUGAAUACAUAGGUUAACGAGGCGAACCGGGGGAACUGAAACAUCUAAGUACCCCGAGGAAAAGAAAUCAACCGAGAUUCCCCCAGUAGCGGCGAGCGAACGGGGAGCAGCCCAGAGUCUGAAUCAGCUUGUGUGUUAGUGGAACGGUCUGGAAAGUCCGACGGUACAGGGUGAUAGUCCCGUACACCAAAAUGCACAGGCUGUGAACUCGAAGAGUAGGGCGGGACACGUGGUAUCCUGUCUGAAUAUGGGGGGACCAUCCUCCAAGGCUAAAUACUCCUGACUGACCGAUAGUGAACCAGUACCGUGAGGGAAAGGCGAAAAGAACCCCGGCGAGGGGAGUGAAAAAGAACCUGAAACCGUGUACGUACAAGCAGUGGGAGCACCUUCGGGUGUGACUGCGUACCUUUUGUAUAAUGGGUCAGCGACUUAUAUUCUGUAGCAAGGUUAACCGUAUAGGGGAGCCGCAGGGAAACCGAGUCUUAACUGGGCGUUAAGUUGCAGGGUAUAGACCCGAAACCCGGUGAUCUAGCCAUGGGCAGGUUGAAGGUUGGGUAACACUAACUGGAGGACCGAACCGACUAAUGUUGAAAAAUUAGCGGAUGACUUGUGGCUGGGGGUGAAAGGCCAAUCAAACCGGGAGAUAGCUGGUUCUCCCCGAAAGCUAUUUAGGUAGCGCCUCGUGAAUUCAUCUUCGGGGGUAGAGCACUGUUUCGGCUAGGGGGUCAUCCCGACUUACCAACCCGAUGCAAACUACGAAUACCGAAGAAUGUUAUCACGGGAGACACACGGCGGGUGCUAACGUCCGUCGUGAAGAGGGAAACAACCCAGACCGCCAGCUAAGGUCCCAAAGUCAUGGUUAAGUGGGAAACGAUGUGGGAAGGCACAGACAGCCAGGAUGUUGGCUUAGAAGCAGCCAUCAUUUAAAGAAAGCGUAAUAGCUCACUGGUCGAGUCGGCCUGCGCGGAAGAUGUAACGGGGCUAAACCAUGCACCGAAGCUGCGGCAGCGACACUAUGUGUUGUUGGGUAGGGGAGCGUUCUGUAAGCCUGCGAAGGUGUGCUGUGAGGCAUGCUGGAGGUAUCAGAAGUGCGAAUGCUGACAUAAGUAACGAUAAAGCGGGUGAAAAGCCCGCUCGCCGGAAGACCAAGGGUUCCUGUCCAACGUUAAUCGGGGCAGGGUGAGUCGACCCCUAAGGCGAGGCCGAAAGGCGUAGUCGAUGGGAAACAGGUUAAUAUUCCUGUACUUGGUGUUACUGCGAAGGGGGGACGGAGAAGGCUAUGUUAGCCGGGCGACGGUUGUCCCGGUUUAAGCAUGUAGGCUGGUUAUCCAGGCAAAUCCGGAUAAUCAAGGCUGAGGUGUGAUGACGAGGCACUACGGUGCUGAAGUAACAAAUGCCCUGCUUCCAGGAAAAGCCUCUAAGCAUCAGGUAACAUCAAAUCGUACCCCAAACCGACACAGGUGGUCAGGUAGAGAAUACCAAGGCGCUUGAGAGAACUCGGGUGAAGGAACUAGGCAAAAUGGUGCCGUAACUUCGGGAGAAGGCACGCUGGUGUGUAGGUGAAGUCCCUGCGGAUGGAGCUGAGACCAGUCGAAGAUACCAGCUGGCUGCAACUGUUUAUUAAAAACACAGCACUGUGCAAACACGAAAGUGGACGUAUACGGUGUGACGCCUGCCCGGUGCCGGAAGGUUAAUUGAUGGGGUUAUCCGUAAGGAGAAGCUCUUGAUCGAAGCCCCGGUAAACGGCGGCCGUAACUAUAACGGUCCUAAGGUAGCGAAAUUCCUUGUCGGGUAAGUUCCGACCUGCACGAAUGGCGUAAUGAUGGCCAGGCUGUCUCCACCCGAGACUCAGUGAAAUUGAACUCGCUGUGAAGAUGCAGUGUACCCGCGGCAAGACGGAAAGACCCCGUGAACCUUUACUAUAGCUUGACACUGAACAUUGAGCCUUGAUGUGUAGGAUAGGUGGGAGGCUUUGAAGCGUGGACGCCAGUCUGCGUGGAGCCAACCUUGAAAUACCACCCUUUAAUGUUUGAUGUUCUAACGUUGGCCCCUUACCGGGGUUGCGGACAGUGUCUGGUGGGUAGUUUGACUGGGGCGGUCUCCUCCCAAAGCGUAACGGAGGAGCACGAAGGUUAGCUAAUCCUGGUCGGACAUCAGGAGGUUAGUGCAAUGGCAUAAGCUAGCUUGACUGCGAGCGUGACGGCGCGAGCAGGUGCGAAAGCAGGUCAUAGUGAUCCGGUGGUUCUGAAUGGAAGGGCCAUCGCUCAACGGAUAAAAGGUACUCCGGGGAUAACAGGCUGAUACCGCCCAAGAGUUCAUAUCGACGGCGGUGUUUGGCACCUCGAUGUCGGCUCAUCACAUCCUGGGGCUGAAGUAGGUCCCAAGGGUAUGGCUGUUCGCCAUUUAAAGUGGUACGCGAGCUGGGUUUAGAACGUCGUGAGACAGUUCGGUCCCUAUCUGCCGUGGGCGCUGGAGAAUUGAGGGGGGCUGCUCCUAGUACGAGAGGACCGGAGUGGACGCAUCACUGGUGUUCGGGUUGUCAUGCCAAUGGCACUGCCCGGUAGCUAAAUGCGGAAGAGAUAAGUGCUGAAAGCAUCUAAGCACGAAACUUGCCCCGAGAUGAGUUCUCCCUGAGACUUUAAGUCUCCUGAAGGAACGUUGAAGACGACGACGUUGAUAGGCCGGGUGUGUAAGCGCAGCGAUGCGUUGAGCUAACCGGUACUAAUGAACCGUGAGGCUUAACCUU